Molecule: ribosomal RNA, 120 nt
Filed under: Escherichia coli
Lineage: Bacteria; Pseudomonadati; Pseudomonadota; Gammaproteobacteria; Enterobacterales; Enterobacteriaceae
Source: RNAcentral
CCUGGCGGCCGUCCGUAGCGCGGUGGUCCCACCUGACCCCAUGCCGAACUCAGAAGUGAAACGCCGUAGCGCCGAUGGUAGUGUGGGGUCUCCCCAUGCGAGAGUAGGGAACUGCCAGGC